CCCGCAACGAGCGCAACCCUUACCGUGAGUUACCAGCAUUAAGUUGGGGACUCUCGCGGAACUGCCGGUGAUAAACCGGAGGAAGGUGGGGAUGACGUCAAGUCCUCAUGGCCUUUAUGUCCAGGGCUACACACGUGCUACAAUGGCUGGUACAAACCGCCGCGAAGUCGCGAGACGGAGCCAAUCGGAAAAAACCAGUCUCAGUUCGGAUUCUGUAGAGCUUUCUCGACUCCAUGAAGUUGGAAUCGCUAGUAAU
RNAcentral lists this ribosomal RNA (256 nucleotides) under uncultured Acidobacteriota bacterium. RNAcentral describes it as "uncultured Acidobacteria bacterium partial 16S ribosomal RNA". It matches the Rfam family "Bacterial small subunit ribosomal RNA", at positions 1086 to 1342 of the family's 1533-position model. Lineage: Bacteria; Pseudomonadati; Acidobacteriota. The record is from RNAcentral.